UUCGGGUUGUAAACCUCUUUUAGCAAGGAAGAAGCGAAAGUGACGGUACUUGCAGAAAAAGCACCGGCUAACUACGUGCCAGCAGCCGCGGUAAUACGUAGGGUGCAAGCGUUAUCCGGAAUUAUUGGGCGUAAAGAGCUCGUAGGCGGUUUGUCGCGUCUGCUGUGAAAUCUGGGGGCUCAACCCCCAGCCUGCAGUGGGUACGGGCAGACUAGAGUGCGGUAGGGGAGAUUGGAAUUCCUGGUGUAGCGGUGGAAUGCGCAGAUACCAGGAGGAACACCGAUGGCGAAGGCAGAUCUCUGGGCCGUAACUGACGCUGAGGAGCGAAAGGGUGGGGAGCAAACAGGAUUAGAUACCCUGGUAGUCCAAGGGCGAAU
RNAcentral lists this ribosomal RNA (377 nucleotides) under uncultured bacterium. RNAcentral describes it as "bacterial SSU rRNA". It matches the Rfam family "Bacterial small subunit ribosomal RNA", at positions 417 to 806 of the family's 1533-position model. The record is from RNAcentral.